Molecule: ribosomal RNA, 194 nt
Filed under: uncultured soil bacterium
Lineage: Bacteria
Description: partial 16S ribosomal RNA
Rfam family: Bacterial small subunit ribosomal RNA
Source: RNAcentral
CCUACGGGAGGCAGCAGUGAGGAAUCUUGCACUUUGGGCGAAAGCCUGAUGCAGCGACGCCGCGUGGAGGAUGAAGGUCUUCGGAUUGUAAACUCCUGUUAAGUGGGAAGAAAAGUCUAUUCCUAAUACGAGUAGAUUAUGACGGUACCAUUAGAGAAAGCACCGGCUAACUUCGUGCCAGCAGCCGCGGUAAU